This 1675-nucleotide ribosomal RNA is filed under the name Parathemisto japonica. Its description in RNAcentral is "eukaryotic LSU rRNA". It matches the Rfam family "Eukaryotic large subunit ribosomal RNA", at positions 826 to 1888 of the family's 3401-position model. Lineage: Eukaryota; Metazoa; Arthropoda; Malacostraca; Amphipoda; Hyperiidae. The record is from RNAcentral.
GUGAACUAUGCUUGGCGAAGACGAAGCCCCAGGAAACUGUGGUGGAAGUCUGUAGCCGUUUUGACGUGCAAAUCAAUGGUGUCAGCUGAGCAUAGGGGCGAAAGACCAAUCGAACUAUCUAGUAGCUGGUUCCAUUCGAAGUUUCUCUCAGGAUAGCUUGCGUGACAUUAACGCUAUGAGUCUGGACUCUUCGGUACACGAAAGCGUGCUGGUAGUCCGUCCCACUUUGUCUGCAGUUGUUGAGAGUUGACGUAGCCAAGAACUUUGUCAUCUCACUCUCUAGUCGCCAGGGUAGCGUAUCAUUUGACCGUGAGCAGUUACGUCUGGUAAAGAGAAUGAGUAGAGUUAGCUCGUUGCUUUCUAUAGCAACAGCAGCGGGGCGUCCUACGCCUCGCACUAUUAUCAAACUUUAAAUGGGCGAGGUACCCGGUAUUUUCUUAAUUGCUUGAUACCGGGGCGAAACACGUCUUGGCUUUACCGUCGAGGCGAAGGUGAAUGCGUGCGCGCAAAGUGGGUCCUUUCUGGUAAGCAGAACUGAUAAUGAGGGAUGAACCUAACGCAUGUGCUAAGGGGCCAAAGAGACAGCUAUUUCUCGAAACCAUUGGAAAGGUGUUGCUUGCUGAAGACAGCAGGACGGUGGUCAUGGAAGUCGAUAUCCGCUAAGGAGUGUGUAACUACUCAUCCUGCCGAAGCGAGUAACCCUGAAAAUGGAUGGCUCUAUAGCUCUCUCCCGAUGCACGGCCGUCAGUAGCACUUGAGUCACCUCGUGUCUCUACGCUCUGACGAGUAGAAUGGUUGUGCUGCAUUGCGUUGACGGCUAUCGCGUGAGCGUGGUCUGAGCGUGCAGCAGUACAGAUCUUGGUGGUAGUAGCAAGUACUCUGGUGAAUAACCUUGAGCUGUGAGGUUGAUAAGGGUUCCAUGUCAACAGUGUUUGUACAUGGGUAAGUCGGUCCUAAGCCCCCAUUAUUCUUAAUGGUGAUUGCGAUCGCCCGAGAGUUAUGGUGUCUGUAGUGGAGUCAGAGUGAGAGCCCGCGCUCUCUCUUUGUAUGUGCGUCGUGUCUGUCGCACACCUUUUGUGCGUGAACAGGGGCACAGGUGUGUUGUUGUACUCGGGGAGAGGUGAAUGUGUGUGUGAACGGUAGCGUUUUUCUCUUUGAGAAGUGGCCGCUGUGACCUAGUAACACACAUCGUUCGUAAUCUCACUGAAAUACGAUGCUAUCGAUGCUCUCUUAAUAGUGCAUGGGGUUUGCGCGUGAUACGUUAAGACACUACACUUUCGCGUCGCUCGGCGAAAGGGAAUUGCGGACUCAGUUCGUAAACCACACCUGGUACCCUGAGACGGUUCACCGUUUCACGGACCUGGCAAGAGCUUGCCAGGCCAGUCGCUGUCAUAAGUAGCUCGGCGGGGAGAUUUCUUCUCUCUUUGAUAUAGAUACGUGUCCUGAAAGCACCUCGAGUGGCGGAAGGUCAACGCUAUCUAGCAGAGUACUCUACUCCCUCGAGUAGAUAACGAUGCUGCUUGUGAUCCGUGAAAAGGUGGUCGAGGGGAAAGUAUGGGACAAUAAGCACCCACAAUGCUACAAAAGCAAACGAGAACAAGACUGUGUGUGUGUGUAAGCCCGCGCUUACUCCCACACGACUUGUGUUUUUGUGCGCCGCGUAUCUGUGUUGUGU